UUCUGUAAGCCUGCGAAGGUGGCCUGUGAGGGUUGCUGGAGGUAUCAGAAGUGCGAAUGCUGACAUAAGUAACGAUAAAGCGGGUGAAAAGCCCGCUCGCCGGAAGACCAAGGGUUCCUGUCCAACGUUAAUCGGGGCAGGGUGAGUCGACCCCUAAGGCGAGGCCGAAAGGCGUAGUCGAUGGGAAACGGGUUAAUAUUCCCGUACUUGGUGUUACUGCGAAGGGGGGACGGAGAAGGCUAUGUUGGCCGGGCGACGGUUGUCCCGGUUUAAGCGUGUAGGUGUGUGUUCCAGGUAAAUCCGGUUCACUUUAACACUGAGGCGUGACGACGAGGCACUACGGUGCUGAAGCAACAAAUGCCCUGCUUCCAGGAAAAGCCUCUAAGCAUCAGGUAACAUCAAAUCGUACCCCAAACCGACACAGGUGGUCAGGUAGAGAAUACCAAGGCGCUUGAGAGAACUCGGGUGAAGGAACUAGGCAAAAUGGUGCCGUAACUUCGGGAGAAGGCACGCUGACACGUAGGUGAAGUGAUUUACUCACGGAGCUGAAGUCAGUCGAAGAUACCAGCUGGCUGCAACUGUUUAUUAAAAACACAGCACUGUGCAAACACGAAAGUGGACGUAUACGGUGUGACGCCUGCCCGGUGCCGGAAGGUUAAUUGAUGGGGUCAGCGCAAGCGAAGCUCCUGAUCGAAGCCCCGGUAAACGGCGGCCGUAACUAUAACGGUCCUAAGGUAGCGAAAUUCCUUGUCGGGUAAGUUCCGACCUGCACGAAUGGCGUAAUGAUGGCCAGGCUGUCUCCACCCGAGACUCAGUGAAAUUGAACUCGCUGUGAAGAUGCAGUGUACCCGCGGCAAGACGGAAAGACCCCGUGAACCUUUACUAUAGCUUGACACUGAACAUUGAGCCUUGAUGUGUAGGAUAGGUGGGAGGCUUUGAAGCGUGGACGCCAGUCUGCGUGGAGCCGACCUUGAAAUACCACCCUUUAAUGUUUGAUGUUCUAACGUGGACCCGUGAUCCGGGUUGCGGACAGUGUCUGGUGGGUAGUUUGACUGGGGCGGUCUCCUCCUAAAGAGUAACGGAGGAGCACGAAGGUUGGCUAAUCCUGGUCGGACAUCAGGAGGUUAGUGCAAUGGCAUAAGCCAGCUUGACUGCGAGCGUGACGGCGCGAGCAGGUGCGAAAGCAGGUCAUAGUGAUCCGGUGGUUCUGAAUGGAAGGGCCAUCGCUCAACGGAUAAAAGGUACUCCGGGGAUAACAGGCUGAUACCGCCCAAGAGUUCAUAUCGACGGCGGUGUUUGGCACCUCGAUGUCGGCUCAUCACAUCCUGGGGCUGAAGUAGGUCCCAAGGGUAUGGCUGUUCGCCAUUUAAAGUGGUACGCGAGCUGGGUUUAGAACGUCGUGAGACAGUUCGGUCCCUAUCUGCCGUGGGCGCUGGAGAACUGAGGGGGGCUGCUCCUAGUACGAGAGGACCGGAGUGGACGCAUCACUGGUGUUCGGGUUGUCAUGCCAAUGGCACUGCCCGGUAGCUAAAUGCGGAAGAGAUAAGUGCUGAAAGCAUCUAAGCACGAAACUUGCCCCGAGAUGAGUUCUCCCUGAGACUUUAGGUCUCCUGAAGGAACGUUGAAGACGACGACGUUGAUAGGCCGGGUGUGUAAGCGCAGCGAUGCGUUGAGCUAACCGGUACUAAUGAACCGUGAGGCUUAACCUUACAACGCCGAAG
This 1721-nucleotide ribosomal RNA is filed under the name Salmonella enterica. RNAcentral describes it as "partial 23S ribosomal RNA". It matches the Rfam family "Bacterial large subunit ribosomal RNA", at positions 1239 to 2925 of the family's 2925-position model. The record is from RNAcentral. Lineage: Bacteria; Pseudomonadati; Pseudomonadota; Gammaproteobacteria; Enterobacterales; Enterobacteriaceae.